RNAcentral lists this small RNA (1303 nucleotides) under Pan troglodytes (chimpanzee). Its description in RNAcentral is "processed transcript". The record is from RNAcentral. Lineage: Eukaryota; Metazoa; Chordata; Mammalia; Primates; Hominidae.
GUUUCCAGACUCCCUGCUGUGGAAAGAGGCUUCAGCCUUGACCUCUUCAGAAAGCCAGAGGCUAUUUAUCGACAGAGAUGGUUCCACAUUUAGGCACGUGCACUAUUACCUCUACACCUCCAAACUCUCCUUCUCCAGUUGUGCAGAACUGAACUUGCUGUAUGAGCAAGCAUUGGGUUUGCAGCUGAUGCCUUUGCUGCAGGCCUACAUGAUAAGGCACCUCUGGGGCUCAUGGACACACCCCUGUUAGACACAGAAGAGGAGGUGCACUACUGCUUCCUGCCCCUAGACCUGGUGGCCAAAUAUCCCAGCCUAGUGACUGAAGACAACCUGCUGUGGCUGGCUGAGACAGUGGCCCUCAUCGAGUGCGAGUGCAGCGAGUUCCGCUUCAUUGUGAAUUUUCUUCGCUCACAGAAGAUUUUACUACCGGAUAAUUUCUCCAACAUUGAUGUAUUAGAAGCAGAAGUGGAAAUUCUGGAAAUCCCUGCACUCACUGAAGCCGUAAGGUGGUACCGGAUGAACAUGGCAGUGUGCCCACUGGCACAUUGUUGCCACGGGAGCAGGGUCCUGAAGGCUGUGAUAACUGUAUUCUCUAGACUGUACCCUAGGCCCACUAUAGGAGAAAAAGGUCCCAUCCAUAAACCAGCAACCCAAAUACCCACCCUGAAAAUAAUGCCACACAGUAUGUCUCUGGGGGAAAUUCUGCCCAGGAGAGCCAGCAACAGGGGCUGUGAAUCCAGGAAGCCUGUAACACACAUUGAGUUUCCAGGCCAUGGUUGCCGUUCUUUACCUUUGGAUGGUUACAGAAGAGCUUGGAACUAAUGAAGACUCCUGCAGAGGCUAGGGCCAGAUGGCUGCUUUCCUGAAACUUAGGAAAUUCAGAUGCUAGUGAUACAGCAAAUGAAUCCCCCCACUCCCAACUCACCUCCCAACAAAUAGUUAUGACUUCUAAGCCUGAGUAUACAAAAAAAUUAUACUAAUUUUGAGAAGAUCUUGAUUUGGACUGUGCAAAGAAAUAUCCUUCCUCUGAGCCUCCUCGGUACAAUGGAGGCAGCAGUAGGAACCGAGCCCCAAAGCCUCCAAUCCAGCUAUGACCAUGGGGGGCCUAGGAGUCACCCCUUUCUCCCUGACACAGGUGGCUGUUCCCGGACCACCUGUUCUCCCCUGAGCCCCGGGAAGGGGGCCCGCACAGCCAGCCUGGAGUCCGUGAAACCGCUCUACACAAUGGCCCUGGGUCUGCUGGUCAAGUACCCGGACUCUGCGCUGGGCCAGCUUCGCAUCGAGAGCACGCUAGACGGAAGCC